CGCUGAUGGAAGCAUCCAGGUCAAGAAACCCACAGAGCAGAGUCCAAUAGGUGACUCCAGAGGAGCAGGAUGUGCCAUGUGCCUCAAUCACUCUCACCAGGAACAGGGUGCUCUCACUGAACUCACCCUGGAAAAGAUGCUUCAGUACACGUGCCAUUCCGACAACACACCCCCUCCCCAAUCCAAGGCAGCGCGAAGUACGAAAACUAAAUCCAUGUUUGCUUUUCAUUCA
Molecule: long non-coding RNA, 232 nt
Organism: Sciurus carolinensis (gray squirrel)
Lineage: Eukaryota; Metazoa; Chordata; Mammalia; Rodentia; Sciuridae
Exons: 2
Source: RefSeq, a predicted model, not a curated record